AUACUUACCUGGCAGGGGAGAUACCAUGAUCACGAAGGUGGUUUUCCCAGGGCGAGGCUUAUCCAUUGCACCCCAGAUGUGCUGCCCCCUGCGAUUUCCCCAAAUGUGGGAAACUCGACUGCAUAAUUUGUGGUAGGGGGGGACUGAAAAAAAAAAAAAAAAUUUUAGAUGCAUUUUUGCCAGUUCUUUU
This 190-nucleotide small nuclear RNA is filed under the name Myotis brandtii (Brandt's bat). RNAcentral's name for it is "U1 spliceosomal RNA". It matches the Rfam family "U1 spliceosomal RNA". From Rfam's summary of the family: U1 is a small nuclear RNA (snRNA) component of the spliceosome (involved in pre-mRNA splicing). Its 5' end forms complementary base pairs with the 5' splice junction, thus defining the 5' donor site of an intron. Lineage: Eukaryota; Metazoa; Chordata; Mammalia; Chiroptera; Vespertilionidae. The record is from Rfam by way of RNAcentral.